Molecule: ribosomal RNA, 261 nt
Filed under: uncultured Geobacter sp.
Lineage: Bacteria; Pseudomonadati; Thermodesulfobacteriota; Desulfuromonadia; Geobacterales; Geobacteraceae
Description: partial 16S ribosomal RNA
Rfam family: Bacterial small subunit ribosomal RNA
Source: RNAcentral
UGCAAGUCGAACGUGAUCCGCCCUUCGGGGUGGUGAAAGUGGCGCACGGGUGAGUAACGCGUGGAUAAUCUGCCCGAGGAUUUGGGAUAACAUCUCGAAAGGGGUGCUAAUACCGAAUAAGCCCACGGGGUCUACGGAUCUUGCGGGAAAAGGGGGGGACCUUCGGGCCUCCUGUCCUUGGAUGAGUCUGCGUACCAUUAGCUAGUUGGUGGGGUAAUGGCCUACCAAGGCGACGAUGGUUAGCUGGUCUGAGAGGAUGAU